This 71-nucleotide transfer RNA is filed under the name Camelus bactrianus (Bactrian camel). It matches the Rfam family "tRNA". Rfam says of the family: Transfer RNA (tRNA) molecules are approximately 80 nucleotides in length. Their secondary structure includes four short double-helical elements and three loops (D, anti-codon, and T loops). Lineage: Eukaryota; Metazoa; Chordata; Mammalia; Artiodactyla; Camelidae. The record is from Rfam by way of RNAcentral. RNAcentral also lists the same sequence under 2 other names.
GAGUGUAUAGCUCAGUGGUAGAGCACAUGCUUAGCACACACGAGGUCCUGGGUUCAAUCCCCAGUAACUCC